Molecule: ribosomal RNA, 422 nt
Filed under: uncultured bacterium
Lineage: Bacteria
Description: bacterial SSU rRNA
Rfam family: Bacterial small subunit ribosomal RNA
Source: RNAcentral
GAAUAUUGGACAAUGGGGGCAACCCUGAUCCAGCCAUGCCGCGUGUGUGAAGAAGGCCUUUUGGUUGUAAAGCACUUUAAGCAGUGAAGAAGACUCCAUGGUUAAUACCCAUGGACGAUGACAUUAGCUGCAGAAUAAGCACCGGCUAACUCUUUCCCAGCCGCCGCGGUAAUACAGAGGGGGCAAGCGUUAAGCGGAAUUACUGGGCGUAAAGCGAGCGUAGGUUGCUUGAUAAGUCAGAUGUGAAAUCCCCGGGCUUAACCUGGGAACUGCAUCUGAUACUGUUAGGCUAGAAUAGGUGGGAGGAAGGUAGAAUUCCAGGUGUAGCGGUGAGAUGCGUAGAGAUCUGGAGGAAUACCGAUGGCGAAGGCAGCCUUCUGGCAUCAUAUUGACACUGAGGUUCGAAAGCGUGGGUAGCAAAC